GACGAACGCUGGCGACGUGCUUAACACAUGCAAGUCGAACGAAAAGAGGGAAAGAGCUUGCUCUUUCCGGAAUUGAGUGGCAAACGGGUGAGUAACACGUAAACAACCUGCCUUCAGGAUGGGGACAACAGACGGAAACGACUGCUAAUACCGAAUAAGUUCCAAGGGCCGCAUGGCCCAUGGAAGAAAAGGUGGCCUCUACCUGUAAGCUAUCGCCUGAAGAGGGGUUUGCGUCUGAUUAGCUGGUUGGAGGGGUAACGGCCCACCAAGGCGACGAUCAGUAGCCGGUCUGAGAGGAUGAACGGCCACACUGGAACUGAGACACGGUCCAGACUCCUACGGGAGGCAGCAGUGGGGAAUCUUCCGCAAUGGGCGAAAGCCUGACGGAGCAACGCCGCGUGAGUGAUGACGGCCUUCGGGUUGUAAAACUCUGUGAUCCGGGACGAAAAGGCAGAGUGCGAAGAACAAACUGCAUUGACGGUACCGGAAAAGCAAGCCACGGCUAACUACGUG
This 513-nucleotide ribosomal RNA is filed under the name uncultured bacterium. RNAcentral's name for it is "partial 16S ribosomal RNA". It matches the Rfam family "Bacterial small subunit ribosomal RNA", at positions 28 to 507 of the family's 1533-position model. The record is from RNAcentral.